This 45-nucleotide non-coding RNA is filed under the name Trichobilharzia regenti. The record is from RNAcentral. Lineage: Eukaryota; Metazoa; Platyhelminthes; Trematoda; Strigeidida; Schistosomatidae.
ACCCAGAGGACGAGUUCCAAAUAGGACGAAAUGCGCAUCUUGCAU